Chiroxiphia lanceolata (lance-tailed manakin) is the source of this 3092-nucleotide long non-coding RNA. RefSeq lists it as uncharacterized. Lineage: Eukaryota; Metazoa; Chordata; Aves; Passeriformes; Pipridae. The record is from RefSeq and is a predicted model, not a curated record. The transcript has 4 exons.
CUGCUCCUCCUCUGCCCCUGCCCCACAGGCGCCCCUGUCCACUGUCCUGCACUUAUGUCUGCUCUUGGCCCUCUCCUUGUCCUUGCCCCUGUCCCUGCCCCUGCCAUCCGUGCCGCUGCCCAUCCCUACCCCUAAUGCUGCUCCUGUCCCUGCCCCUGCCACUGUUCCCGUUCCUGCCUCUGCCUCUGUCCCUGUCGCUGCUCCAGCCCCGCCCCUGCCCUUUUCCUGCCGCUGCCUCUAUACCUGUCUCUGCCGCUGCCCCUGUCCUGUCCCCUCCCCUGCCCCUGCCUCUUCCAUGCCGGUGGAGGGCCGAUCACCUCCUUGCAGGCAUGGCACUGGCAAACUACUCGUGUAUGUGUGUGUAUUUGUAUAUAUAUGCGGACGAUCAGUGCUAAGAGCUCCUGGGGUGCUGUGUGGUUGUCAGUAGUUUGAAUCUCGUCUGGGAAUGGAAGUUAGCUGAAAGUGAGGCCAUACCUUUGCAGUGGCUAAGAAACACGACAUUUUUCUCAGUUUUUGCAUUUUGGAUCAACACAAAGAGACAGAAUUAAUGCCCUCCUCCUGUUUUCCUUCUCUUGACUCAUGAGAUUUGCUUUGAAAAGAUAUGUGAUGCAAAUGAAGAUCCAAAUAAAUGAUAGAUGAGUGGUUCUGCUGCCAUUUUACACAUCACUCUAAUACCUAGAACUGACCUCUUCCUUUACCACGUGGGACUUCGUUCCCUGAUACAGGAUUCUUCCUUCACUACACUUCACUGAUACGCUGAGACUGAUACAUUCCCUCACUACUCCGGGCUUUCGGGCUUUCCUUGACGAAUCCGGACUGCAACCAUCACUUUGACAAGACCGGGACUCUAACCACCAGGAAGACCCCAAGAACAACGGGACGCCAUUGAAACCCACAGAGUGGUGAUAUUUUUUCUACUUAAUCUGUCUCUCUGUUACUCUCUCUUCCCACUCCACCCUCACUCUCUCUUCCCUAUUCCUUUAUAUCUCUCUCUACCUCACAUUUACUAUUAAAUAAAAAUCUGUACUAUUGCCUUCGGCAUAUGGCCUUGUUUGCAGCUUAAUUUUGUCAGAGGCAUCACUCUAAUAAUUGUAAAGAACCUGAUCAUAACAAGGUGAUAUCAUAACUGAUUUUAUUUUUUAUAAGAUAUUCAGGCAAGUUUUACAUAAAGGAAAACUUUCUCAUAUUUUCUCAUUUGUCCAUAAUCUCGGUGGAAAAUUACCUGCCCUUUAAGGUGUUUACAUUUAGGGCUUUUCGUUCUUUUUUUUGGGUUGUGUCCUUUAGGACUGGCCAAGAUUUCAGGUAUUUUCCAGAUAUAAAUUUCCUAAUUGUCCUUGUGGUUCUGCUGUUUUACAUUUUGUAGAAUUUCACUUACAGUGCUAUAAACAUGAUAUUUUUUUCAUACAAAGUACAGACUGUUCUGAAGUUGAUGCAGAUAUGGAUGAUAUGAAAUUUCAUCCUUUUUUUCAAAAUAUUGCAUAACUUUAAAGUACACAAUCACAGAUAUAUCUAAUAUUAACUAAGUUUGAUUUUGCUUAGUGGCAGCUUGAUAGAGAAUAGGGGAAUUAUUUUGAAUUGAUAAAAAGUGUUCCUAGGAAUGCUAGGUUGUUUAAUUAGUUGGUGCUGUAAUGAAUAUGUAUUCACAUAAUAUGUGUAUUCACAUAUAGUGUAUUUGUGUCUGAUUUUGUCUUUCUAAAGUACAUGACCUGGUAUACAUUGGUCCCCUUAUGUUGCUCUAAAUCGAGCCCUUUGAAUGUCAGGCUCUACUAGCUCCCCUCAAGUCAGUUACAUAACUUUUCCAUUCUUUGGACAGUCUGUGUUCUGACACCUAGUGUAGCACUGGGUUAACUUGACAGUCUGCUUUUUAUUUUUCCAUCAUCACUUUUGAAGUCUGUGACAAGUCAUUUAUUUAAUGAUUAAGCUGCCUUUUAAAAGCCAAAAUCUUAUCUAUUUUUUGUAGGGGGAUGGGGGAAGAGAAAAAAAAUUAUGUAUAAUAAUGGCCUGUCUACAUUCUGUUUUGUUAUUGCUAGUAACCUUUGGCCAGACUACAAGAGCAGGUGUUUUGUUAAUUUAAAAUAUUUUCAUCCCUUAGCUUUAAUUCAGCUGCAAUUCCUUUGUCCUUGCUGGGUUUCAGGUUUCUGUCCUUCUGGAAAAAGCCAAUCCUGAAAAAUCAAGAGAAGGUCAAGCAGAAGCCACUGACUGUCCCCUUGUCCUAUAAAUCCAUCAGUUGUCAACCACAGGGGGUAGCUUCUGCUGAUAUUUCUUUCAUGUAUGUUUCUAUUCUAAUAUUAAUAAUAUUAGAAUAAAUACUCGAGGAUGCAAAGUAGGAAAUGUCUUCUUUCUCUUCUGUCAGUCGUCUGCUCUUCUGAUUCCUUUGCUCUCCAUCCUCCAUCUCUUUCUGUAAGGUUAGUUUUUGGUUACUGUCCCAGGCGUAAACAGUCAAUCUAUUCCAGUUAUUCAGUCACACUGCUAUAAUUUAUUUUUCAUCUCCCAGGGAACGUAAUAAAGUUUAAAUUAACUCAGCUUAUGUCUUCAGGAAUUAGGCAAGUAAAUACUUCUCUACAUGCUAAUUAAUUUGAGACUGUAAAGGAUAUUAGUAGGCGUUAGUUUUAUGCCAUGUCCCCCAGCUUUCUCUCCCUUACAAAUUUAAGGACCUCCUCAAUGGUAUUUCCUUGUACUCCAUCAUUUUGUUAGGUACACACUUGAUGAAAAAAAAAAAAACCAAACACUUUUCUGAUUAGACUCAUUGAAUAAUUUGUUAUGAUCAGUCAUGUUUCUUUAGUUUCUUCAGCCUAAUUUUCAUAUUUUCUGACAGCAGUCUAGUUUGCUGGUAACAUUUAACUAGAACAUAAAUAAUAACGUAGAGUUCAUCUUGGAAGUUAGUCUUCAGGUUGUGUGUUUUUGUAAGACGGGAAAAAAGCAAAUAGACACUGGGUGGCAGAUGAGCACUGUUGUUGAGGUCGCUGAUUACGGAGCAUCUGUAUAUAUCCUAAAAAUGCAGGCAAUUUGUUAAAAUUGGUUAUUGUUCUGUUAUGGCAAAAUAAAAAUGUACUUUAUGUUCCCUGUGUAAUAAAUAUUGCUUGUACAUUUUG